This 84-nucleotide microRNA precursor is filed under the name Canis lupus familiaris (dog). RNAcentral describes it as "mir-8799 microRNA precursor family". It matches the Rfam family "mir-8799 microRNA precursor family". The record is from Rfam by way of RNAcentral. RNAcentral also lists the same sequence under 1 other name. Lineage: Eukaryota; Metazoa; Chordata; Mammalia; Carnivora; Canidae.
GGAGCGCAGGAUCCUGGGCUGUGUCCCCUGGUGCCCUGGGCUCCGGGGCCUGCGCUGCUGGAAUCUGCUCCCGGCCACCGCUCC